UGUUUUAGAUAAAGGAGAGGGCGUCGGCAGAGCCCGCCUCAUCCAGAACUGAUAAAGGAGAGUGCGUCGGCAGAGCCCGCCUCAUCCAGAACUGAUAAAGGAGAGUGUGUCGGCAGAGCCCGCCUCAUCCAGAACUGAUAAAGGAGAGUGCGUCGGCAGAGCCCGCCUCAUCCAGAACUGAUAAAGGAGAGUGCGUCUGCAGAGCCCGCGUCAUCCAGAACUGGUGAGUUUACUGCCCCUUUGUAAAUUGGAUACAACCUGAUGCCUCUUGUAGCUAGGAUGGAUCUCCUCCAGAUCCCAGGGGCCUCCUAUGUUUUCUGGAGUGCUCCAGUUGGAGGGUGUCCUCGGGUGCCUAGGGAGGAUGUUCUGCGGCCUUUGUAAGGCGGACUGCUUCCUGGGGUGACUGCUACACAGUCUGAGUGGUAACAAUUGAGGUGGCGGUGGAUACAUUUGCAGGCAUGAAAUGGAUUCUGCACCAAUUUCCGAGGGGGCAGAAAAACCCAAUCCGUUUUAUUGCUAGGUGAAGGAGUUCGGGGCAAAGGUAGAGCCAGAGCGAAUCUGCACUAUGUCUGGGAAUCCCAAUGACCUUCAGCCCUUACAGAUGACUGAUAUAGGCCAACCUUUCAGUCGUUUGUGGAAAGAACUUGCAUUGCCAUCACCAAGAUAAAGGAGAGUUCCUUGGCAGAGCCCGCCUCAUCCAGAACAGGUGAGUUUACUGCCCCUUUGUAAAUUGGAUACAACCUGAUGCCUCUUCUAGCUAGGAUGGAUCUCCUCCAGAUCCCAGGGGCCUCCUAUGUUUUCUGGAGUGCUCCAGUUGGAGGGUAUCCUCGGGUGCCUAGGGAGGAUGUUCUGCAGCCUUUGUAAGGCGGACUGCUUCCUGGGCUGACUGCUACCCAGUCUGAGUGGUAACAAUUGAGGUGGUGGUGGAUAGAUUUGCAGGCAUGAAAUGGAUUCUGCACCAAUUUCAGAGGGGGCAGAGAAACCCAAUCCAUUUUAUUGCUAGGUGAAGGAGUUCGGGGCAAGGGUAGAGCCAGAGCGAAUCUGUACUAUGUCUGGGAAUCCCAAUGACCUUCAGGCCUUACAGAUGACUGAUAUAGGCCAACCUUUCAGUCGUUUGUGUAAAGACCUUGCAUUGCCAUCACCAAGGAAAGUCGAAUCCGUCUCUUAUUCAGGAGUUCAACAAAGCAUUCUAGAAGUAGAGAGAACUUGGAAGUGAACACUUAGAAAGAUAAUUGAAAGUGUCUUGAAAGUGUCUCUCCAAUUACUGCUCUGCAGAGAAUCGGUGGCCAUUCGAUGUGGAUUUUCCAAAGUUGAUUGCCAAUUCAGACAUUUUUCCACAGCUUUUAGCCAUCCCAAGAAAUAAUGUGAGCAAUUUCCGUCCAUGGGGGCUAUUCCAACGUGGAAAUUGUCCAUCUAGAAGGCAUCCAAAAUAACCUUGGGAAUAACUAAUUAUUCAUCUACACCAAAUCCUCGGGGAGAGAAAUGAUUAAAAAAUAGCAUGGUGUCCUUGACGUGGACCCAAAUUCCCAAUGGGACCAUUCCCAUUUGGGAGAUGAAGGGGCAUAUAAAGAAGUUUCGUAUAGACUGUCCCAAUUCCUUAGCUGGU
Molecule: long non-coding RNA, 1606 nt
Organism: Sarcophilus harrisii (Tasmanian devil)
Lineage: Eukaryota; Metazoa; Chordata; Mammalia; Dasyuromorphia; Dasyuridae
Exons: 6
Source: RefSeq, a predicted model, not a curated record